Molecule: microRNA precursor, 91 nt
Filed under: Canis lupus familiaris (dog)
Lineage: Eukaryota; Metazoa; Chordata; Mammalia; Carnivora; Canidae
Description: miRNA (ENSCAFG00000051848.1, ENSCAFG00845007459.1)
Source: RNAcentral
GGUAGUUACAGGAAUGGUGGCCUUUGGGGUCAGUCAGGCCUGGGUUUGCAUCCCAGCUCUGCCACUUAGUAGCUGUGUGAUCUUUGUCAAG